GCUAAACACUUUUCUCGCAUCAUUAGCUACUUGGUAUGACACUGACCAGAUAAUUAAGACAGAUAAGAAUGCUGAGGUUCUAAGAAGACAAGAAGCCCAAGGGCCCAGGCUUGUGGGGCCCUGUGUCUGGUUGUCUCUGAAACCCAUGUUCUGUCCAUGAAAGCACACUGUAUCACAUUAACAACCCUGUGGUUAUUGCUUGUUUCAAUUUGCAAUGCAGCAAUUUAGUCAUUUUAAAUUAAUCCUUGAAAAAUCACCAAGAGAUUAAAAUGCAAAUUUCAACAUGG
Long non-coding RNA from Mastomys coucha (southern multimammate mouse), 287 nucleotides. RefSeq lists it as uncharacterized. The transcript is spliced from 2 exons. NCBI's taxonomy places the organism in Eukaryota, Metazoa, Chordata, Mammalia, Rodentia, Muridae. The record is from RefSeq and is a predicted model, not a curated record.